GAUGAACGCUGGCGGCGUGCCUAAUACAUGCAAGUCGAGCGAACGGACGAGGAGCUUGCUCCUCUGACGUUAGCGGCGGACGGGUGAGUAACACGUGGAUAACCUACCUAUAAGACUGGGAUAACUUCGGGAAACCGGAGCUAAUACCGGAUAAUAUAUUGAACCGCAUGGUUCAAAAGUGAAAGACGGUUUUGCUGUCACUUAUAGAUGGAUCCGCGCCGCAUUAGCUAGUUGGUAAGGUAACGGCUUACCAAGGCAACGAUGCGUAGCCGACCUGAGAGGGUGAUCGGCCACACUGGAACUGAGACACGGUCCAGACUCCUACGGGAGGCAGCAGUAGGGAAUCUUCCGCAAUGGGCGAAAGCCUGACGGAGCAACGCCGCGUGAGUGAUGAAGGUCUUCGGAUCGUAAAACUCUGUUAUUAGGGAAGAACAAAUGUGUAAGUAACUAUGCACAUCUUGACGGUACCUAAUCAGAAAGCCACGGCUAACUACGUG
Molecule: ribosomal RNA, 497 nt
Filed under: uncultured bacterium
Lineage: Bacteria
Description: partial 16S ribosomal RNA
Rfam family: Bacterial small subunit ribosomal RNA
Source: RNAcentral